UACGGAAGGCAGCAGGGGGAAUAUUGCACAAUGGGCGAAAGCCUGAUGCAGCUAUGCCGCGUGUAUGAAGAAGGCCUUAGGGUUGUAAAGUACUUUCAUCGGGGAGGAAAAAACAAAACUAAUAAUUUUAUUUCUUGACGUUACCCGAAAAAGAAGCACCGGCUAACUCCGUGCCAGCAGCCGCGGUAAUACGGAGGGUGCUAGCGUUAAUCAGAAUUACUGGGCGUAAAGAGCACGUAGGUGGUUUUUUUAAGUCAGAUGUGAAAUCCCUGGGCUUAACCUAGGAACUGCAUUUUGAAACUGAAAUACUAGAGUAUCGUAGAGGGAGGUAGAAUUCUAGGUGUAGCGGUGAAAUGCGUAGAUAUCUGGAGGAAUACCUGUGGCGAAAGCGGCCUCCUAAACGAAUACUGACACUGAGGGUGCGAAAGCGUGGGGAGCAAAACAGGGAUUAGAUACC
RNAcentral lists this ribosomal RNA (457 nucleotides) under uncultured bacterium. RNAcentral's name for it is "bacterial SSU rRNA". It matches the Rfam family "Bacterial small subunit ribosomal RNA", at positions 340 to 786 of the family's 1533-position model. The record is from RNAcentral.